RNAcentral lists this ribosomal RNA (253 nucleotides) under uncultured bacterium. Its description in RNAcentral is "partial 16S ribosomal RNA". It matches the Rfam family "Bacterial small subunit ribosomal RNA", at positions 524 to 776 of the family's 1533-position model. The record is from RNAcentral.
UACGUAGGUGGCAAGCGUUGUCCGGAAUUAUUGGGCGUAAAGCGCGCGCAGGCGGUCCUUUAAGUCUGAUGUGAAAGCCCACGGCUCAACCGUGGAGGGUCAUUGGAAACUGGGGGACUUGAGUGCAGAAGAGGAAAGCGGAAUUCCACGUGUAGAGGUGAAAUUCGUAGAUAUUGGGAAGAACACCGGUGGCGAAGGCGGCUCACUGGCCCGUAACUGACGCUCAGGCGCGAUAGCGUGGGGAUCAAACAGG